GAGUUUGAUCUUGGCUCAGAUUGAACGCUGGCGGCAGGCCUAACACAUGCAAGUCGAGCGGUAGAGAGAAGCUUGCUUCUCUUGAGAGCGGCGGACGGGUGAGUAAUGCCUAGGAAUCUGCCUGGUAGUGGGGGAUAACGCUCGGAAACGGACGCUAAUACCGCAUACGUCCUACGGGAGAAAGCAGGGGACCUUCGGGCCUUGCGCUAUCAGAUGAGCCUAGGUCGGAUUAGCUAGUUGGUGAGGUAAUGGCUCACCAAGGCGACGAUCCGUAACUGGUCUGAGAGGAUGAUCAGUCACACUGGAACUGAGACACGGUCCAGACUCCUACGGGAGGCAGCAGUGGGGAAUAUUGGACAAUGGGCGAAAGCCUGAUCCAGCCAUGCCGCGUGUGUGAAGAAGGUCUUCGGAUUGUAAAGCACUUUAAGUUGGGAGGAAGGGCAAUAAAUUAAUACUUUGCUGUUUUGACGUUACCGACAGAAUAAGCACCGGCUAACUCUGUGCCAGCCGCCGG
RNAcentral lists this ribosomal RNA (514 nucleotides) under uncultured bacterium. RNAcentral's name for it is "bacterial SSU rRNA". It matches the Rfam family "Bacterial small subunit ribosomal RNA", at positions 9 to 518 of the family's 1533-position model. The record is from RNAcentral.